RNAcentral lists this ribosomal RNA (1194 nucleotides) under human gut metagenome. RNAcentral's name for it is "bacterial SSU rRNA". It matches the Rfam family "Bacterial small subunit ribosomal RNA", at positions 11 to 1198 of the family's 1533-position model. The record is from RNAcentral.
GUUUGAUCCUGGCUCAGGAUGAACGCUGGCGGCAUGCCUAAUACAUGCAAGUCGAACGAGAGGAAGGAAAGCUUGCUUUUCUGAAUCUAGUGGCGAACGGGUGAGUAACACGUAGGUAACCUGCCCAUGUGCCCGGGAUAACUUCUGGAAACGGAUGCUAAAACCGGAUAGGUAGCAGACAAGCAUUUGACUGCUAUUAAAGUGGCUUUGGCCAUGAACAUGGAUGGACCUGCGGUGCAUUAGCUGGUUGGUGAGGUAACGGCCCACCAAGGCGACGAUGCAUAGCCGGCCUGAGAGGGCGGACGGCCACAUUGGGACUGAGACACGGCCCAAACUCCUACGGGAGGCAGCAGUAGGGAAUUUUCGUCAAUGGGGGGAACCCUGAACGAGCAAUGCCGCGUGAGUGAGGAAGGUCUUCGGAUCGUAAAGCUCUGUUGUAAGAGAAAAACGGCACUCAUAGGGAAUGAUGGGUGAGUGAUGGUAUCUUACCAGAAAGUCACGGCUAACUACGUGCCAGCAGCCGCGGUAAUACGUAGGUGGCGAGCGUUAUCCGGAAUGAUUGGGCGUAAAGGGUGCGUAGGUGGCAGAUCAAGUCUGGAGUAAAAGGUAUGGGCUCAACCCGUACUGGCUCUGGAAACUGAUCAGCUAGAGAACAGAAGAGGACGGCGGAACUCCAUGUGUAGCGGUAAAAUGCGUAGAUAUAUGGAAGAACACCGGUGGCGAAGGCGGCCGUCUGGUCUGGAUUCUGACACUGAAGCACGAAAGCGUGGGGAGCAAAUAGGAUUAGAUACCCUAGUAGUCCACGCCGUAAACGAUGAGAACUAGGUGUUGGGGGAAUAACUCAGUGCCGCAGUUAACGCAGUAAGUUCUCCGCCUGGGGAGUAUGCACGCAAGUGUGAAACUCAAAGGAAUUGACGGGGGCCCGCACAAGCGGUGGAGUAUGUGGUUUAAUUCGAAGCAACGCGAAGAACCUUACCAGGCCUUGACAUCCCUUGCAGAGGUAUAGAGAUAUAUCCGAGGUUAUCAAGGAGACAGGUGGUGCAUGGUUGUCGUCAGCUCGUGUCGUGAGAUGUUGGGUUAAGUCCCGCAACGAGCGCAACCCUUGUGAUAUGUUACUAACAUUGAGUUGAGGACUCAUAUCAGACUGCCGGUGAUAAACCGGAGGAAGGUGGGGAUGACGUCAAAUCAUCAUGC